AAUCGACCACUGUACUCGACGUUGAAACGUUUGAUUCAUGACACAAGAAGGAUCCUCGACGACUGUACAUCGAUCUAAGGCGUUUUCAAUUCACAAGACCUCGGGAAAAGGAAGAAAAGAGGCUGAUAGAGAAGUAGAGGAAGAAAAAACAAAAAUCGACAUAGAAAACGACGAACAGAGUAGAGAAAAGGUCGCUGCAAAAUCUUGUUGCGAGUCAGGUGAAGAAGAAAGGAUCUGACAAAUCCGCAUCUGAGUCAGAUUCCACCCAUGACCCGUCUUGCCAGCAACCAGCCUAGACGACGCAGCCCGCACCUGCAGUGGCUCACGUCUGCAAUCCACGACCCAUAACUCGCUAUGCCUACAACCCAUUAAACUGAAGCCAAAUCCAAGCCUCGGCCCAGUCCAUCUGUAGCAGUCCGCGCUUGUAGCAAUUCGAGAACCCGAGGCCCAAAUUGCAGCCAACCUGUAACCCAUGAUCGCAGUCCAGCCUACAACUCGUGACUGAUGCCUCGACCUACGCCUCGAUCGAAGUCACCUGCACAUGUGUUGCCCUCGUAUUGGGCCAUGUAGCACGCUUGCAGUAAAUGACUCCUUCGACUUGGUCAGCUUAGACGGCUCAGCUUGGCUGUCCGCAACCCUUUAGGCUUAUUCAGCUCAAAUACUCAAAUUUCAAACUAAUUUCUACCAUUUUGACCCUCCCGAACCUGUUUUCGACCUCAAGAAAUGAUUCCCGAUAAUACUUGGAGCAGCUUUCGAGAAACGAGAGCCAACGAUAAUAAUUUAGGGAGAACGCCGGCUAUGGCCAACAAACUAACUAGAUGAUUAUGGGUCCAGGGGGUGUGAGCCGCCUGGAGAUUAACAAUCGCAAGUGUGGGUCGUGUGUAAGGAAGUACUAUUCAUCCAAGUUAGUCCGAACUGGAGGCCACCCCUAGGAUGAGAUAGUGACAGGUCCCUCGAGCAUUGUUCCAUGUAUUUGCAUUUCUUCAUGACCCCUAUAGAUGGUACACUUACUAAGUAAUCUUCGAAAUACUCAGGUCGUGUGCUAAAUCAUUUUACAAGUAAAGUCAAGGCACCCACGUACGGUUGACGGUGGCAUCACAAAGUAAAGACAAUGCAAUGUGCAGAAGAUAGAAACAUAUUUAAAUUCAAGGGGCGUCUUGCCUUUAUGUAAAAAAUGCAG
Long non-coding RNA from Cucurbita moschata (crookneck pumpkin), 1180 nucleotides. RefSeq lists it as uncharacterized. The transcript has 4 exons. The record is from RefSeq and is a predicted model, not a curated record. NCBI's taxonomy places the organism in Eukaryota, Viridiplantae, Streptophyta, Magnoliopsida, Cucurbitales, Cucurbitaceae.